AGAACGAACGCUGGCGGCAUGCCUAACACAUGCAAGUCGAACGAGAUCCUUCGGGGUCUAGUGGCGCACGGGUGGCGUAACGCGUGGGAAUCUGCCCUUAGGUACGGAAUAACUCAGGGAAACUUGUGCUAAUACCGUAUGAUGUCUUCGGACCAAAGAUUUAUCGCCUAGGGAUGAGCCCGCGUAGGAUUAGCUAGUUGGUGGGGUAAAGGCCUACCAAGGCUACGAUCCUUAGCUGGUCUGAGAGGAUGAUCAGCCACACUGGGACUGAGACACGGCCCAGACUCCUACGGGAGGCAGCAGUGGGGAAUAUUGGACAAUGGGCGAAAGCCUGAUCCAGCAAUGCCGCGUGAGUGAAGAAGGCCUUCGGGUUGUAAAGCUCUUUACCCGGGUAAGAUAAUGACUGUACCGGGAGAAUAAGCCCCGGCUAACUCCGCGCCAGCAGCCGC
RNAcentral lists this ribosomal RNA (449 nucleotides) under uncultured bacterium. RNAcentral's name for it is "SSU rRNA". It matches the Rfam family "Bacterial small subunit ribosomal RNA", at positions 26 to 518 of the family's 1533-position model. The record is from RNAcentral.